AUACGUAGGGUGCAAGCGUUAAUCGGAAUUACUGGGCGUAAAGCGUGCGCAGGCGGUUUUGUAAGACAGUGGUGAAAUCCCCGGGCUCAACCUGGGAACUGCCAUUGUGACUGCAAGGCUGGAGUGCGGCAGAGGGGGAUGGAAUUCCGCGUGUAGCAGUGAAAUGCGUAGAUAUGCGGAGGAACACCGAUGGCGAAGGCAAUCCCCUGGGCCUGCACUGACGCUGAUGCACGAAAGCGGGGGGAGCAAACAGGAUUAGAUACCCUGGUAGUCCACGCACUAAACGAUGUCAACUGGUUGUUGGGGAUUUAGUUUCUCAGUAACGAAGCUAACGCGUGAAGUGGACCGCCUGGGGAGUACGGCCGCAAGGUUAAAACUCAAAGGAAUUGACGGGG
Molecule: ribosomal RNA, 395 nt
Filed under: uncultured bacterium
Lineage: Bacteria
Description: partial 16S ribosomal RNA
Rfam family: Bacterial small subunit ribosomal RNA
Source: RNAcentral